Eurytemora carolleeae is the source of this 106-nucleotide long non-coding RNA. RefSeq lists it as uncharacterized. The transcript has 2 exons. NCBI's taxonomy places the organism in Eukaryota, Metazoa, Arthropoda, Copepoda, Calanoida, Temoridae. The record is from RefSeq and is a predicted model, not a curated record.
UGAUAAUCAGGAAUGUAUAUUAAUUAUCGAUCAUGAAACUGGAGAAUUAACUCUUGAAAGGUUGUCCCAUCAGAUAAUGGUAAAAAAGACGCGAGCAGAGCGAGCA